RNAcentral lists this long non-coding RNA (2167 nucleotides) under Nicotiana tabacum (common tobacco). RNAcentral describes it as "long non-coding RNA (NTAB_LNC008327)". The record is from RNAcentral. Lineage: Eukaryota; Viridiplantae; Streptophyta; Magnoliopsida; Solanales; Solanaceae.
AGCUAGAUAUUGAGGUCGGAAAGCCCAAGGCUAUAUAAACCUCAUAUGAGCACUUUGUAGUACCGAUGUGGUUCUCCCUAGGUUGUAUCAAUGGUAUCAGAGUCACCCACCACCCUCUCUGCCCAUCAUGCCUUGGAUGGUGAUGUCGUUAUUGCAGUGUUCGCCCGGAGCUAGAAAUAUCCGGCGCACAGCCAUCGGGGACGACGGAUGCCGAGCGCGGUAGUUUGUUAUGGUCUAUUACAAAGGAAUGUGACUUGAAUUCCAUAUCGGUACUACAAAAAUGCUGAUGUGAGUUUAUAUAGCCUUGAAUUAUGCUACCUCAAUAGCUAGCUUUUGGGUAUGCUUCUCCGUGUAUAUACUGGCGGUUGCAAUUAUUUUCAUCCAUGUUAAAAGCCCUUUUUUCGGUUAGGGAUCUGAAAAUAGCCCGUUGACUGUGAGAACUAAAUGGGGAAUGAGACUGUGAGAACCAAAUGGGGAAUUAGUUUCACUCAUUCCUGUGUGUUUAACUAUCAUCUCUUGAUCAAGUAAUGACACACUUAAUACAAUGAUGACACACGGAAAACGGCACGCUCGCCAUUUCUGCAGAAAUUUUCUUUAAGUGGCAGUUGCUUAUGGCGGAUAGUCAAAAGUGCCCAACUUUCCAAGCAAUUCUGUGAUGAAAGCGAAUUACCCCGAUUUGCUAUAUAUAGUUAGUUACCUCAGCAGAAUAUAAUCUAUCAUUUUCUACUGCUUCAACCUCAUGGGGUGAGUGUAUUUGCCACAUCUGUUCUGUUGUCAAUUUUAGUCUCCUACUAUUGUUAUAAGUCGUCUCAUAUUCUGCUGCAUUCUUUCCUUUUCUUAUGUUCUUUGGGAAUUUGUUCCAACUGGCGUAGGACUUUAAUCUUGCUGCACCAAAGAUAAAUCUGAUCAUUAAAUGCCAAAAUAAGAGGAUUAACUUAUAUACAUUAAGAGUGUGCAGAAUUGUUACAUGUUAUUUUCCAUGUUGCUAAUCCCAUCUUUUAUGAAUGAUCACUUGUAGAUAUCUUUUAGGUCAGUGUAAAAUUUCUUUUGCAUUGCCCUCUAUUAAGUUAUAUACACUGACAAAAUAAAUUUUUCACCGUCAAUAUGGUUUAAAAGUUGCAGUAUAUUAUCUGGUAGUUGACAAAAAAGAAAUGAAGGUUGUUAUGUAAACUACUUGCUUUCUCCUGAUUCUAGCUAAACAUUACCCUUUGCUUUCUCUUGAUAGGAUAUAUUUUCAAUAAUUUAUUCACUUCUGGGUUAUUACCAGGAUAAGUUGGUCAUUGCUUGAGAAACGAGAAUGUAAAAUAAUUUAAGUUUGAAUUGAUAAGAAAGCCAGUUAGUAGAAGGUGGGACUUGAAAAGUAAGGCAUGAUCAUUUUCUUGAAUUAUGUUCGUAGACGUUAACUUUAAUGCUGUCUCGUAACCUUCAUAAAUUGAAAUUUGUAGGAUGCACCAGUAAAUUUGUCCUAAAAGCAGUAGAAUAGUGAAAAAGGUUGUAUAUACUAAUUCCACAAGAAAUCGCGUAUUUUUGGGUGAAACGUAUGUUUUCGCAAGAUGAUGAUCUAUUCCACCAGUUAAAAAGACUGGACAUUUUUGUGCUAAGACGUGUAAUGUGCAGGAGUCUUGUGUUAACAGAUAUGCCUCUAUUUAUAGAAUUUGAAGGAAUGUGAAAAUCUCUAUCGAUCCAUGCCAUAUGGGGUCGGCAUUCAUCUCUUUGAUGUGUUUCUUUCCUAUUUCUCUCAGUGCUGCUGUUUAGCGAUGUGCUUUUAGCUGCAGUACAUAAUAGGAUCAUGAUCCAAAAACAAUAAAACCAUGUUAUAGUUAUAGAAAAAUUAGAAGAAAAAAAUACUAUUGUAACGUGUUUGACAUAAACAAGGACCCAUUGCUUCCGUUUCUUUUCUUGGGCUCCUAGUCAUGAAGCUGUUGAAUUUCCACCUUUUUACAUUUAAGCAGAGAUUACAAGGUGGGGGAAAAUGAGGGGAUUUGCUCAUUGAUUUUAUUGUAAAAACACACACUAACAAUAAUGGAAUUUGGCUAAACAAAUAUUGACAUAAAAAUAGAUCUACACACAUCUGUUGCCACUCCUGCUUAAGUUGCGGAUGAUUUCUGCAGGUUGACGAGGACUGCAAAAGCUAUAUAUCAGCUAUUCGUGCUGUAGAACCUCAAAU